CAAGGACGAACGCUGGCGGCGUGCUUAAUACAUGCAAGUCGAACGGAGAUUAUGAUUUCGGUUGUAAUCUUAGUGGCGAACGGGUGAGUAACGCGUGAACAACCUGACUCAGAGUGGGGGGAUAACAACGGGAAACUGUUGCUAAUACCGCAUAAGACCACAUUUCCGCAUGGGAGAGGGGUCAAAGAUUUAUCGCUUUGAGGGGGGUUCGCGUCCCAUUAGGUAGUUGGAGGGGUAACGGCCCACCAAGCCAACGAUGGGUAGCCGAGCUGAGAGGCUGAUCGGCCACACUGGAACUGAGACACGGUCCAGACUCCUACGGGAGGCAGCAGUAGGGAAUAUUGGGCAAUGGGCGCAAGCCUGACCCAGCAACGCCGCGUGAGGGAAGAAGGUUUUCGGAUUGUAAACCUCUGUCCUAUGUGACGAAGGAAGUGACGGUAGCAUAGGAGGAAGCCCCGGUUAACUACGUGCCAGCAGCAGC
This 481-nucleotide ribosomal RNA is filed under the name uncultured bacterium. RNAcentral describes it as "bacterial SSU rRNA". It matches the Rfam family "Bacterial small subunit ribosomal RNA", at positions 26 to 518 of the family's 1533-position model. The record is from RNAcentral.